CAGAGAAGGAACUCUCUGAGAUCCAGUGCUCAGCUCUGGCCUUCAUGCUGCAGAUGUCAGAGGAGGUUCUGGAUGAGUUUGACCUGCUGAAGUACAACACAUCAAAGCGGGGACGACAGAGACUGAUUCCAGCUGUGAGGAACUGCAGAAAGGCUGGACUGACUCACUGUGGACUCUCAGAGUCUCACUGUGAAGUUGUGGCCUCAGCUCUGAAGUCCAACCCCUCCCAUCUGACAGAGCUGGACAUGAGUUGAAAUGAUGGCCUCCAGGAUUCAGGUGUGAAGCUUCUGUGUGCUGGACUGGAGAAUCCAAACUGUCGACUGGAGACUCUGAGAUUGUGGGGCUGUGGUUUGUCAGAGAUCAGCUGUGAUUAUCUGGCAGCAGCACUGAAGUCCAACCCCUCCCAUCUUAGACAGCUGGAGCUGAGUGACAACUACAAGCUGCAGGAUUCAGGAGUGAAGCAUCUGUGUGGUUUCCUGGAGAGUCCAGGAUGUGGACUUGAAAC
Maylandia zebra (zebra mbuna) is the source of this 505-nucleotide non-coding RNA. Lineage: Eukaryota; Metazoa; Chordata; Actinopteri; Cichliformes; Cichlidae. The record is from RefSeq and is a predicted model, not a curated record.